RNAcentral lists this microRNA precursor (104 nucleotides) under Zea mays. The record is from RNAcentral. Lineage: Eukaryota; Viridiplantae; Streptophyta; Magnoliopsida; Poales; Poaceae.
GGGAGGAAGAAGACGACAUGGCGUGGUAUUGUUUCGGCUCAUGUCCUUCUUGACUGGAUGUGAUGUGAGCCGAACCAAUAUCACUCAUGUAUUCUUCAUUCUGA